Molecule: ribosomal RNA, 274 nt
Filed under: uncultured bacterium
Lineage: Bacteria
Description: partial 16S ribosomal RNA
Rfam family: Bacterial small subunit ribosomal RNA
Source: RNAcentral
AUACGGAGGGGACUAGCGUUGUUCGGAAUUACUGGGCGUAAAGCGUACGUAGGCGGAUCAGAAAGUAUGGGGAGAAAUCCCAGGGCUCAACCCUGGAACUGCCUCAUAAACUCCUGGUCUUGAGUUCGAGAGAGGUGAGUGGAAUUCCGAGUGUAGAGGUGAAAUUCGUAGAUAUUCGGAGGAACACCAGUGGCGAAGGCGGCUCACUGGCUCGAUACUGACGCUGAGGUACGAAAGUGUGGGGAGCAAACAGGAUUAGAUACCCUAGUAGUCC